Molecule: long non-coding RNA, 3342 nt
Organism: Nicotiana tabacum (common tobacco)
Lineage: Eukaryota; Viridiplantae; Streptophyta; Magnoliopsida; Solanales; Solanaceae
Source: RefSeq, a predicted model, not a curated record
GCUAAUUCAUCUCCCGCCAAAAUCUCUCAAUUUAGCCUAAAGACUAAAAAAAAGGACAUGAAUUACUUUAACUGAAAAACCCUUACAAUCUCUCCGCAAGCCAUUUAAGAGCAAAAUCGCCGGCCACUUUAUCAACCAAAAAAGUAACCCUCAUAUAAUACAAUCUCAUCCGUAAGCCAUUUAAGAGCAAAAUUGCCGACCACAUUCUCAACAAAAAAAAAAAAAAGAACUAUGCAAACUAGAGGUCGCAAUCGAGUUGGUAAUUGAACAAAAUGAUGAUGAAGAUGUGCGACUUUAUAUUGAGCAAUUGAUGGAUGGUCAAAACUACUUUAGAGACCAACCAUAUAUUGAGCAUUUGAUGGAUGAUCAAAAUUACUCUGAAGCCUAAGCACAUGAUGAUCAAUCUAAUGAGCCGAAUAGUUCUGCUGGUGGCACUGAGAUUCAACAUAAUGAGGAUCAGGUAAUACUUUUUUAGUAUUGCAAUCUGUUGCUUUUGUAGUAUAGAUUAAAGUACAACUAAAAAAAAAGAGCUCGCUUAAUAUCAAUUGCACAUUUCCAGAAAUUAAAUUUCUCCUAAUAUCUUUUUAUCAAGUGAAAUUGCUUUAGUACAGUUUCUCUUUAGCUUGUUGAAAGCUGCAUGUGAAAUUACUCAGUAAAAAAAUUAGACCAUCAAGCACCGAAGAAGUAGUUCUACAUAAUGUUUUACCAUACCAUCCCAAUUAUAAGUAAGCAGCUAGCUAAUACAAUAGUAUGUGGGCUUAUCAUUCAAUUUUAUUGCUUCUGUGUAGUAGCUCACGGCUUUGUUCCACUGCUUGCCUUUAUAUGCAGUAUUUCCCUAUAUAGAGCACCAUGAUAAAUUAGAAACACAUACUAAUGAAAGAUCUCAUAACUUUCAAAAGGUAGUAAAGUGAAUAUGAAUAACUAUUAGGCACAAUAUUUUCAUUGCAUAUACUGUUACUUAAGGCUGAAAUUAAAAAUUUGCUAGGAUUAUGGUAACUACAUAAUAGUAGCAACUCAACCAGAGAUCAAUGUAACAACAAUCAUUGUGAAAUUGAUUGUUUCUGGUGUGGCUUAUUAGCAGACUCUUCUUCUCCGGAGUCGAGAGACCCGACGAAAGUGAAAGUUAAUAUUUGUUAGUGCCCUACAUGCUGCUCAUCAGAGAGAAUAUUAAAUUCCAAUGCUGCAGCUAAAAGAUGUAACAAGGAGAUGUGAAUUAUACUUUAGAUCUUUGUAGCCUCUCAGACGAGGAUAUAAAAUGGUUUGAUGCCACAAAGCGAAUUAAGAAACAUAAUAUAAUCAAGUUGAACAAAACUUACGGUUGAUCUUAACAUACUAAAAGAGAAAAAGGUGAACAACACAUUUCUUUUUAAAAGUUCAGAUGCAUCAACGUUCCCAUUGGUACCUGGUAAUGGUAAUUCACUGGAUUGUAUACUUAAUUCCUCUUGAAGAGAUGAAUACAUAUCCAAGACACAAGUAGAAACUUCUCAUUCCCGUGAGAUGCAAUAAAUGACAAGGAUAUAUGAUAGUUAUCAUGUUCUCCAAAAGGAAUGAUACCUUGACUUUUUUUUCUUUUUUUCUGUAGAUGCAUUAACAAUGAAGUUGUGACUUUUAUAUUCACACUUUAAGUAAUGAAUUUGUUAUAUUCUUCUUUAAUGAAGUGUGAGGCUAAUCAAGUUUGUAUGAAAAAUAAUUUUGGCAGGUGCAUGGUUCUUAUUUCUUAAUCUUUGGAAAUUGAACAUAGCUGUUGUUUUUUUGGUUAUUCUGACAUUUAUAGUAAUAUUCAUGAUUUACUAGUGUCUUUAAGUAGCAUAAUGCUAACGUAUCUUGAGUUAGGAUUCUUAAGAAAUAACGUAUCAGACGAUUCAAAUAUUUUUCAUUCUAGGUAAUUCGGAAACAAGAAAGGUUCGUUGGCCUACCUUACUAAAAGAUAUUUGGAAACUUCCGUCAGGAAAGACCAUUAAUUUGUUCUAGUAUUUCGGCUUACCUUAGAUGCUUCUUGCUUUUAUGUAUUUUUUUUUUUCACUGUUGUUGAUGUCGUAAGUUUGUGAUAGUAGUGAAUCAUUUUAAAAAUAAUCUUUUUCCAGAUUGUGAUUAUAUGUGUAAUAUUAUUAUAUCCUUCUUAUGUACACACAUAGUGAAAAAAUAUUUAUUUAUUCUAUUAAAUUGACAUCAUUUUUUAUCUUUAAAUCAAUUCAUAUUUGUCUGCUUGAAUUCUUCGGAUGGUUGACAAACCUAUAGCCUUAAACCUUAAAGUCAAUCACAACUUCUCCAUUUACAACAAGCAGCACCCAUUACUCUAGCACUAGAGAUGAGAACGACUGCACAAGAACCACCUGUGUUGGUGUAGAGUUAUAAAUUUAAGAAGUGAUAAUUCCUAACGAGUUUUCUUUUCUGUUGUUAGUGAUGGGAUGAAUGGCUUUAAAAAGCAAGCCGAUGUCAUCUCUUCAAGUGAUUUAAGAGGAUCUUUGUUUUUUCCUCUUGCCAUGUCUUGUGUUGCAUUAUAGUAACAUAGGUUCGGUUUGUUACUUUCUAUGACACCUUGGCCGUUGCUUCUAUCUAAGCAAAGGUUUGUAAAUUGCUUGGUAAUGUUCUGUCUUUGGAAUUAUAAAUAGAUGGUAUCUAACUUCUGAUUUUUAUAUUAACAUUGCAUACUCUAUUUUGAAUCUUGUGCCACUAGUCCUUGGCGAUUUUAGUUAUUCAAAUAAAUAUAAAGAUGAUUGUGACUUUUCUUUUAGUUCCAUAGAUGUUAAGAAAGUUAAAUAGAAUGUUCAAAAAAUUGAUUAUCUAAUUUAUGUUGUAUGAGAAAACUUUUUCUUUCUAGAUGCAUAGUGAGUUAUGAAAUGUGUGGGUGGAUUUAAAAAAACCUUUCGGUAUGUUGAGUCUUUGUUGGGUAAGUUUGAACCUCCAACGAUUGCACAAAACAUUUGCAUUUCUUGAGACCGGAUGCUGGUAAAUAUUCUUUUCCGAUAAGGUAAUGUAAAUUUCAUUAAAAAUGUACCAAGAAGAUACAGAAAGCAUAUAAAAGUUCUUUUUAAUUCUCCAAGCUAAUACUCUGCUUUUGAUAUUUUUUGUUUCUUCUCUGUCAUAACAAAGAAAGAAACUUUCUUUUAUUAUUUGCACAUCCAUUUUGCUCGUCUAUUAAUCCAUCUAGUUGUCUCUGCUUGUGAAUGUUAGGUGAGUGAGUUGGGUAAAAAACAAUCUGACAGUGAUGGAGUCUUCAAGAUAUUUUUUCACAUUAUAUUUUAUCUUUUGACAUAGUUAAUUUAUAAUUUCAAGUCAUACAGUCUAAUGUUCGAUAUUUUUGCGGGUGGAAGAUUUCAAUAUGAUGAAAAGUUGUGGAAA